This 397-nucleotide ribosomal RNA is filed under the name uncultured bacterium. RNAcentral describes it as "partial 16S ribosomal RNA". It matches the Rfam family "Bacterial small subunit ribosomal RNA", at positions 523 to 918 of the family's 1533-position model. The record is from RNAcentral.
AUACGUAGGUGACAAGCGUUAUCCGGAUUUACUGGGCGUAAAGGGCGUGUAGGCGGUCUUGCAAGUCAGAAGUGAAAUUCCUGAGCUCAACUCGGGCGCUGCUUCUGAAACUGCAGGACUUGAGUGCUGGAGGGGAUAGCGGAAUUCCUAGUGGAGCGGUAAAAUGCGCAGAUAUUAGGAAGAACACCGGUGGCGAAGGCGGCUAUCUGGACAGUAACUGACGCUGAGGCGCGAAAACGUGGGGAGCAAACAGGAUUAGAUACCGUGGUAGUCCACGCCGUAAACGAUGAAUACUAGGUGUAGGGGGUAUCGACUCCCUCUGUGCCGCAGUUAACACAAUAAGUAUUCCGCCUGGGGAGUUCGGCCGCAAGGUUGAAACUCAAAGGAAUUGACGGGG